RNAcentral lists this ribosomal RNA (1111 nucleotides) under Curtobacterium sp. NCCP-515. Its description in RNAcentral is "bacterial SSU rRNA". It matches the Rfam family "Bacterial small subunit ribosomal RNA", at positions 48 to 1172 of the family's 1533-position model. Lineage: Bacteria; Bacillati; Actinomycetota; Actinomycetes; Micrococcales; Microbacteriaceae. The record is from RNAcentral.
GCUACACAUGCAGUCGACGAUGAUCAGGAGCUUGCUCCUGUGAUUAGUGGCGAACGGGUGAGUAACACGUGAGUAACCUGCCCCUGACUCUGGGAUAAGCGUUGGAAACGACGUCUAAUACUGGAUACGACUGCCGGCCGCAUGGUCUGGUGGUGGAAAGAUUUUUUGGUUGGGGAUGGACUCGCGGCCUAUCAGCUUGUUGGUGAGGUAAUGGCUCACCAAGGCGACGACGGGUAGCCGGCCUGAGAGGGUGACCGGCCACACUGGGACUGAGACACGGCCCAGACUCCUACGGGAGGCAGCAGUGGGGAAUAUUGCACAAUGGGCGAAAGCCUGAUGCAGCAACGCCGCGUGAGGGAUGACGGCCUUCGGGUUGUAAACCUCUUUUAGUAGGGAAGAAGCGAAAGUGACGGUACCUGCAGAAAAAGCACCGGCUAACUACGUGCCAGCAGCCGCGGUAAUACGUAGGGUGCAAGCGUUGUCCGGAAUUAUUGGGCGUAAAGAGCUCGUAGGCGGUUUGUCGCGUCUGCUGUGAAAUCCCGAGGCUCAACCUCGGGCUUGCAGUGGGUACGGGCAGACUAGAGUGCGGUAGGGGAGAUUGGAAUUCCUGGUGUAGCGGUGGAAUGCGCAGAUAUCAGGAGGAACACCGAUGGCGAAGGCAGAUCUCUGGGCCGUAACUGACGCUGAGGAGCGAAAGCGUGGGGAGCGAACAGGAUUAGAUACCCUGGUAGUCCACGCCGUAAACGUUGGGCGCUAGAUGUAGGGACCUUUCCACGGUUUCUGUGUCGUAGCUAACGCAUUAAGCGCCCCGCCUGGGGGAGUACGGCCGCAAGGCUAAAACUCAAAGGAAUUGACGGGGGCCCGCACAAGCGGCGGAGCAUGCGGAUUAAUUCGAUGCAACGCGAAGAACCUUACCAAGGCUUGACAUACACCGGAAACGGCCAGAGAUGGUCGCCCCCUUGUGGUCGGUGUACAGGUGGUGCAUGGUUGUCGUCAGCUCGUGUCGUGAGAUGUUUGGGUUAAGUCCCGCAACGAGCGCAACCCUCGUUCUAUGUUGCCAGCGCGUUAUGGCGGGGACUCAUAGGAGACUGCCGGGGUCACUCCGAGGAAA